CAGUCGCCACGGGAAUACGAAGGGUGCAAGCGUUAAUCGGAAUUACUGGGCGUAAAGCGUGCGUAGGCGGUGAGUUAAGUCUGCUGUGAAAUCCCCGGGCUCAACCUGGGAAUGGCAGUGGAUACUGGCUCGCUAGAGUGUGUCAGAGGAUGGUGGAAUUCCCGGUGUAGCGGUGAAAUGCGUAGAGAUCGGAAGGAACAUCUGUGGCGAAGGCGACUAUCUGGGCCAACACUGACACUGAGGCACGAAAGCGUGGGGAGCAAACAGGAUUAGAUACCCCCGUAGUCCCUGUCUCUUAUAC
Molecule: ribosomal RNA, 301 nt
Filed under: uncultured bacterium
Lineage: Bacteria
Description: partial 16S ribosomal RNA
Rfam family: Bacterial small subunit ribosomal RNA
Source: RNAcentral